Molecule: ribosomal RNA, 276 nt
Filed under: uncultured bacterium
Lineage: Bacteria
Description: partial small subunit ribosomal RNA
Rfam family: Bacterial small subunit ribosomal RNA
Source: RNAcentral
AGAAUCAACGCUGGCGGCGUGCCUCAGACAUGCAAGUCGAACGCGAAAGUUCCCUUCGGGGGAUGAGUAGAGUGGCGCACGGGUGAGUAACACGUAGGUAAUCUACCUUCGGAUGGGGAAUAACAAUCGGAAACGGUUGCUAAUACCGCAUAAUGCAGCGGCACCUAAUGGUGACAGUUGUUAAAGCGGGGGAUCGAAAGACCUCGCGUCUGAAGAGGAGCCUGCGGCGGAUUAGCUAGUUGGUAAGGUAACGGCUUACCAAGGCGACGAUCCGUA